Molecule: ribosomal RNA, 325 nt
Filed under: uncultured bacterium
Lineage: Bacteria
Description: bacterial SSU rRNA
Rfam family: Bacterial small subunit ribosomal RNA
Source: RNAcentral
AUUGAACGCUGGCGGCAUGCUUUACACAUGCAAGUCGAGCGGCAGCGCGGGGGGCAACCCUGGCGGCGAGCGGCGAACGGGUGAGUAAUGUAUCGGAACGUACCUUUCAGUGGGGGAUAACGUAGCGAAAGUUACGCUAAUACCGCAUAUUCUGUGAGCAGGAAAGCAGGGGAUCGCAAGACCUUGCGCUGAUUGAGCGGCCGAUAUCAGAUUAGCUAGUUGGUGAGGUAAAGGCUCACCAAGGCGACGAUCUGUAGCGGGUCUGAGAGGAUGAUCCGCCACACUGGAACUGAGACACGGUCCAGACUCCUACGGAGGCAGCAGU